RNAcentral lists this ribosomal RNA (455 nucleotides) under Prevotella nigrescens. RNAcentral's name for it is "bacterial SSU rRNA". It matches the Rfam family "Bacterial small subunit ribosomal RNA", at positions 28 to 469 of the family's 1533-position model. The record is from RNAcentral. Lineage: Bacteria; Pseudomonadati; Bacteroidota; Bacteroidia; Bacteroidales; Prevotellaceae.
GAUGAACGCUGGCUACAGGCUUAACACAUGCAAGUCGUGGGGAAACGGCAUUAUGUGCUUGCACAUUCUGGACGUCGACCGGCGCACGGGUGAGUAUCGCGUAUCCAACCUGCCCCUUACUUGGGGAUACCCCGUUGAAAGACGGCCUAAUACCCGAUGUGUUUCAUUGACGGCAUCCGAUAUGAAACAAAGGUUUUUCCGGUAAGGGAUGGGGAUGCGUCUGAUUAGCUAGUUGGCGGGGCAACGGCCCACCAAGGCGACGAUCAGUAGGGGUUCUGAGAGGAAGGUCCCCCACAUUGGAACUGAGACACGGUCCAAACUCCUACGGGAGGCAGCAGUGAGGAAUAUUGGUCAAUGGACGCAAGUCUGAACCAGCCAAGUAGCGUGCAGGAUGACGGCCCUAUGGGUUGUAAACUGCUUUUAUGUGGGAAUAAAGUGGCGCACGUGUGCGCCAU